Molecule: RNA transcript, 1472 nt
Organism: Myotis daubentonii (Daubenton's bat)
Lineage: Eukaryota; Metazoa; Chordata; Mammalia; Chiroptera; Vespertilionidae
Gene name: phosphoserine aminotransferase-like
Exons: 2
Source: RefSeq, a predicted model, not a curated record
UGCUGACUCGCCACACGUGCCGCAGCACCAUGGAUGCCCCGAGACAAGUGGUCAAUUUAGGGCCAGGACCCGCCAAGCUGCCGCGCUCGGCACUGUUAGAGAUACAAAAAGAAUUAUUAGACUACAAAGGCGUUGGGAUUAGUGUUCUUGAAAUGAGCCACAGGUCAGCAGAUUUCGCUAAGAUCCUUAACAACACAGAGAAUCUUGUGCGGGAAUUGCUAGCUGUUCCAGACAACUACAAGGUGAUUUUUGUGCAAGGAGGUGGGUCUGGCCAGUUCAGUGCUGUCCCCUUAAACCUGAUUGGACUGAAAGCAGGCAGAUGUGCCGACUACGUGGUGAUAGGAGCUUGGUCAGCUAAAGCUGCAGAAGAAGCCAAAAAGUUUGGGACUGUGAACAUCGUCCACCCUAAACUUGGGAGUUACACAAAAAUCGUAGACCCAAGCACUUGGACCCUCAACCCGGAAGCCUCUUACGUGUAUUACUGCGCCAAUGAGACUGUGCAUGGCGUGGAGUUUGACUUUGUCCCCGACGUCAAGGGAGCAGUGCUGGUCUGCGACAUGUCCUCAAACUUCCUAUCCAGGCCAGUGGACGUUUCCAAGUUUGGGGUGAUUUUUGCAGGUGCGCAGAAGAACGUUGGCUCUGCGGCGGUCAUGGUGGUGAUCAUCCGCGAUGACCUGCUGGGGUUCGCCCUCAGGGAGUGCCCCUCGGUCCUGGAGUACAAAGUGCAAGCCGGAAACAACUCCUUGUACAACACUCCUCCCUGCUUCAGCAUCUAUGUCAUGGGCUUGGUCCUGGAGUGGAUUAAGAACAACGGCGGUGCAGCAGCCAUGGAGAAGCUCAGCUCCAUCAAAUCGCGGAUGAUUUAUGAUAUCAUUGAUAAUUCUGAAGGAUUUUAUGUGUGUCCAGUGGAGCCCCAGAAUAGAAGCAAGAUGAAUAUUCCAUUCCGCAUUGGCAACGCCAAAGGAGAUGAUGCUUUAGAAAAAAGAUUUCUCGAUAAAUCCCUUGAGCUCAAUAUGAUCUUCUUGAAAGGGCACAGGUCUGUGGGAGGCAUCCGGGCCUCUCUGUACAAUGCCGUCACGAUCGAAGAUGCUCAGGAGCUGGCAGCCUUCAUGAAGAAAUUUUUGGAGAUGCAUCAGCUGUGAACACAUCCUAACCAAUCUAUAUUCUACCCUUGAACAAUGUCCCACAUUUAAAUUGUGUCUUCUCCCUUCCCUCCUACCUUUGGAAGCUGCUUCACAAGAUUUAGAAGCUCCCCGAUUCACUUUUAUUUAGGUGGAAGAGAAGGUUGGUUGGUUAUUUUUUCAGUUAUGCCGUGAAACUAAAAAAAAAAUCUUAAACUCCCUUAGCGUUUGUUCACUUGACUAUUCUCGUUAAUUGUGUUUGACCAGAGUGAUGCUAUGAGUUCUGGAAGAUCCUUGCUGGAGAGUCUUUCCCCUGUUGUUUAUCCAUUGUCAGUAUUUGAUGUUGAGUAC